GGCUGCAGCUGCUCAGCGAGGACUGCAGCCUGGAAGAGAGGGAAGAGCUGAGCCACAGGCUGGCCCUGAUCACUGUGGACCCUACACAGGAAGAACAAGAGGAUACAGGACUUAGAAAGGAAUCUUGAGCUGAGACAGAUAUCCUUCAAUCACUCUCUUGCCACAGAAACAAGGAAGACCAAUGAAUCCAGAGAGCUGUCUGAUUACCUCCAGGCACAGAUCAAUCUGUUGACCAAAAAAAUCUAAGAAAGAGAGAGAGAAUUGGAGAUCCACAAAAUCUACUCACAUAGAUUUCCAAAAGGCUGGAACAGAAAAGGUACAAAGACAUUAUGAGCUACUUGAACUUUUAACAUGUUCAACCCAUGAUCCAGAUCAAACAUUUUUUUAAACUUGAUUAAUAUAUUUUGCCAUUAACAGGAGCAAGAGAAACUAAAUCUGUUCAAACAGAUGACAUAUCCUCUCUCCCCAUCGAGGCUCCGUGCCAAUUUGAACUAGUCUAUGCCUGUUCACUCCAGCAUCCGAAGUUGGAGAAGCAGAAGAGUUUGAGCUGGGUAUGUAAAUGAGUUUCCUUCUCGCUCACAUUCUGUGCAGAAUGCUGUUUAAAUGGGUAACGGUAAAUAAAACAUUUAUUCAAUAUUGACAGAUAAAAGCAAAUAUUAACUCCUUGAUAAAAGUUUGUGUAUUGAGUUCCAGUGUAAAGUUGAUAUCUUUUUUUUUUUUUCAGGAGUCCUUUGCAAUUGGCUUCCCAGACAGAAGUGACACAGCAGACCUGUUAGUGGAUGACAGAGGAUCAUACGAUAAUGAACAUUUUGCUGACGAUGGAGAGCUGCAUGGUGAUUAUGACAAGGAGGAUCCACAACUUUAGGGUGAGGAGUAUUGCCUUGCAGAGGAGGCAGCGAGUUCCCUCAAGGCUUCAGAAGGAGUGCAAACAGAGCCAUUUGAAAGCCAGGUCCGGUACACUCUGGAUGACUUUCAGAAUACAGAACGUGCCAACAUGGCCCUCAAAUCCCCUCCCAGGACCAAGCACCUCUACACAUUCAAAGAAACCAUCCAGAACCUACACAGUGGGAAGCCUGCCUAUGCCAGCCAUAGCCAAAGCCUGAGAAAAAGCCCUCCUAAAUACAUCAAGAGCCAGGCCAGGGUGGAGAACCUGGGGUCUAGGGCGUAUGAGCCCUCCUUCACUCUACCAGCAGAGAAGUGCCAAAGGCGUGACACCAUGGACCCUCAACCCGGAAGAUGGCGUAGUCCGCAGCAAGAAGAGUAUCUUGAUGAAAGAGCUUUUUGGCCAGGCCCUAAUCACUGAUCCAAAUGGCCAUGCAGACAGGCAGAUCCAGAGUUCAAAGCACAGACCUGGACAGAACGUCCUCUUACCAUACAGGAGACGCUAGCCCGGUCUCACCUGGGAGACCAAGAUCAUUUUUUAUUGACCCAAGAAGUAUACAAAAUUAUAAUAUAUUUGUAUUAUUUGAUAAAUUAUUAUUUAUCUGCCAUGGCAACUCAAC
This is a long non-coding RNA of Oncorhynchus tshawytscha (Chinook salmon), 1502 nucleotides long. NCBI's taxonomy places the organism in Eukaryota, Metazoa, Chordata, Actinopteri, Salmoniformes, Salmonidae. The record is from Ensembl.